AGAAGAAGAAGAAGAAAAUGGAAGUGAAUGGAAAUAUUAGACCAAAUAGAAGUGAUGUUCAUUUAUCAAAAGAGGAAGAAACAAAGAUAGAAGAGGAAACAAGAGAGUAUUUUGAUGGCAUUGCACCAAAAAGACACACUAAACCUCAAAGAAGUGAUUAUUCUUCAACUUAUGUUGAUCACAUCAAUCUCUACCCUUCUUCUCAUGACACAAUUCCCGAAAAUCUCGAAUUCCAACGUCUCGAAAAUGAUCCUCAG
This 257-nucleotide unclassified non-coding RNA is filed under the name Hevea brasiliensis (rubber tree). Lineage: Eukaryota; Viridiplantae; Streptophyta; Magnoliopsida; Malpighiales; Euphorbiaceae. The record is from RNAcentral.